RNAcentral lists this long non-coding RNA (248 nucleotides) under Homo sapiens (human). RNAcentral describes it as "lncAB2.1". The record is from RNAcentral. Lineage: Eukaryota; Metazoa; Chordata; Mammalia; Primates; Hominidae.
GUCUGAAGGCCAGAAUUCUACAGUAAGUCCUACUGAGUCAAGGUGGGAGCAGGGUCGGUAGCUUCCGAGGCUCUGCGGGAGAAUCCGUUUCCUGGCCGUAGAGGUGGCCUGCACUCCGCAGCUUGUGCUGCCCGUCUCGAAUGACUGGAGUUUCCUGCUUCUGUCACUACACCUCCCACCCUCUCCAUCACCUGCUCUGCUCUUACAAGGAUCCGAGUGAGUACAUCAACCCCAAAAGCCAAAGACCC